Molecule: ribosomal RNA, 565 nt
Filed under: uncultured archaeon
Lineage: Archaea
Description: bacterial SSU rRNA
Rfam family: Archaeal small subunit ribosomal RNA
Source: RNAcentral
CGCGAUUCGCCCUUCGGGGUGCAGCAGGCGCGAAAACUUUGCAAUAAGCGAAAGCUUGACAGGGCUAUCCCGAGUGCCAUCCGCUGAGGAAGGCUUUUACCCAGUCUAGAACGCUGGGGGAAUAAGGAGAGGGCAAGUCUGGUGUCAGCCGCCGCGGUAAUACCAGCUCUCCGAGUGGUGUGGAUGUUUAUUGGGCCUAAAGCAUCCGUAGCUGGCUGAGUUAGUCCCUUGUUAAAUCCACCAAAUUAAUUGUUGGAUUGCGGGGGAUACUGCUUGGCUAUGGGACCAGAGAGGCAUACGGUAUUUUCGGGGUAGGGGUGAAAUCCUAUAAUCCCGGGAAGACCACCAGUGGCGAAGGCUGUCUGCUAGAACGCGCCCGACAGUGAGGGAUGAAAGCUGGGGGAGCGAACCGGAUUAUAUACCCGGGUAGUCCCAGCUGUAAACGAUGCACACUAGGUGUUUGGACGGCCACGUGCCGUUCUAGUGCCGCAGGGAAGCUGUUAAGUCUGCCGCCUGGGGAGUACGAUCGCAUGAUUGAAACUUAAAGGAAUUGGCGGGGGAGCAC